ACGCUUAGCUGACUGAGCCACCCAGGCGCCCCAUCUUGUGCUUGUCAGUUGUGCUUCUUAGGAUACUUUGCUUUGCCCUAAGGAGCUCAUUCUGUCCUUCCCUUCAGACAAGAGGCAGGUCUUCUUCGUCACCGUCCCCUCUCCGGUGUCCGGCCUGGGGUGGGCUCUUGGUCCUUGUUGGGUUGAGUUGAUUCGAGGCUAAAUGACACCUGUGCCGAGUCCUUCCCUGCAGGGAGGAGACCCUUCUCCAUCACACCGGUUCCCACCAUCUAGAGGAGACAUGCUGGGCAGAUUCACGGCCAGUCCUCACAGCGGUGGAGAGAUACAGACAAAUUCCACACAUGACCGUGGCCUUUGUGACGCGUGGACAGAUCUGGUCCUCCCUGCUGCCCUGAAGACACCGCACUCUCCCCAGCGAGGCUGCCUGAGCUCGGUGAGAAAUGGUCCCGAGGAAUCAGGAGGCUGUGGGCAUUUUCCUACCGCUGGCUGCCCGCGAUUCGGACGCACCGUGCAACGGACAGGGACAGUAACGAAAAAGAAGAAACACGGAUGAAGUGAAUGGCCGGUCGCCUCAGGCAAAUGUCCCCUGCAGUUGCUGGUACUGUGAAAAAUAAAAAAAGUCACCAAUCAAAA
Molecule: long non-coding RNA, 633 nt
Organism: Leopardus geoffroyi (Geoffroy's cat)
Lineage: Eukaryota; Metazoa; Chordata; Mammalia; Carnivora; Felidae
Exons: 2
Source: RefSeq, a predicted model, not a curated record